AUGGCACGCCUUUGGAGCACAGUACUUCUCCUCGUCGUGGCGUAUUCUGACGGAGUCGCCAGCCUUGUGUGCAGAGACGGCGAACACUUGGUGGUGUCAGAGGGUCAACCGGACCGAUGUUGCGGCUACUGCGGGGCUGACUCUUUCAUCACGAAAAACUGCACCAUUGAUGACGGACUUCACUGCAAGGUUUGCAAUAAGUGUGAAGGUGAGUUUCCUCUCUGUCCUCUGCAUGAAUCGCAGCAGGCCUGGAUUUGGAAAGAUAGGAGAGGUGGAGAGAGGAGCUGAUUGUGGGAGGAGGUGGCCCAGUUGACACUCUGGUUGU
This 325-nucleotide long non-coding RNA is filed under the name Lepisosteus oculatus (spotted gar). Its description in RNAcentral is "lncRNA (ENSLOCG00000022031.1)". Lineage: Eukaryota; Metazoa; Chordata; Actinopteri; Semionotiformes; Lepisosteidae. The record is from RNAcentral.